Long non-coding RNA from Bos taurus (domestic cattle), 1049 nucleotides. NCBI's taxonomy places the organism in Eukaryota, Metazoa, Chordata, Mammalia, Artiodactyla, Bovidae. The record is from Ensembl.
GGUAAGGAGGUUACAAAGAGAGUGGGAAGUAGUCUGUAAAUUAAUAUCUGUAUGAAUAGAGUGAUGGUUCUGUGAGAAAUAAAAUGUGAGGCCCCCUUCCUAUCUCAGAUCACCUUCUUCCUGGCUUCCCACUCAACAGGGAAGAAAUUUUUAGUUGGAACGGUCAGAGCCCAAGACAUGGAUUGGGCAGUGACAUAGAUUGUAUUUUCCCAAACUGUCUCAUCUCUCACACUGUUCUUAUGAUGUGAUGCUGACAGGCUUCAUUCUGAGAUGGGGUCUGCCCUCUCCCUUUGAACCCAGGCAGACCUUUGUAAGUGCCUCAACUAGUCACCGGAGAAGGAAAUGGCAACCCAUUCCAGUGUUCUUGCCUGGAGAAUCCCAGGGACGGGGGAGCCUUCUGGGCUGCUGUCUAUGGGGUCGCACAGAGUCGGACACGACUGAAGCGACUUAGCAACAGCAGCAGUAUGAAAGUUACUAUGACUUCCACCUGGCUUUCUCUAGAGGCACUGGCCGUGUUAGGGGAAGCCUCCUGGAGAGGCCACGUGUGAGCACUCUGGCCAACAGCCAACAACAGACAUGUGAGUGAAUGCUCCUUUAGACAUGUCCAGUCCUCAGCCUUCGAGUGUUCUGUGGAGACUGCAGAAACUGUGGAGCAGAGACAAGCUAUCUUUGCUGUGCCCUGUCUGAAUUCCUCCUGCUCCAUUGGAACCACAAGACAUAAUCAACGAUCCUUGUUCAUCUAACCCAGAGCCUGGCACGCACAAGAUGCUCAGCCGCUGUUUGUGGAGUGAAUAAACAAGCCCGGCACUGGAUGCUUGACGCUGCCUCAAUGCUUGGGGCCCUGGGUGUGGACGGAGUGCUGACCGCAGCCCGGCAUCUUCAAGGGUUGCAUGUGGCACCUUGGCUGUCUCAUUUAUAAUCCAUGAGACAGUCAUUGUAUUCCAGAUUGCUCUUCACUGUCAUUUUAGCCUUUAGCUGCUUACUGAAAUGAGCUAAUUAAAGCUGAAUUAUUUUAAUUGCUAAUCAUCAAGAAAAAAGGUUUUUUUUUU